Molecule: microRNA precursor, 67 nt
Filed under: Bombyx mori (domestic silkworm)
Lineage: Eukaryota; Metazoa; Arthropoda; Insecta; Lepidoptera; Bombycidae
Description: mir-2774 microRNA precursor family
Rfam family: mir-2774 microRNA precursor family
Source: Rfam by way of RNAcentral
ACAACAUUCAGACCGUCGGUCUACCGAGCGAUAUCACUCGUCCGGUGGAAGAUUUUCCCUCCGUCCU